Galeopterus variegatus (Sunda flying lemur) is the source of this 327-nucleotide long non-coding RNA. RefSeq lists it as uncharacterized. The transcript has 2 exons. NCBI's taxonomy places the organism in Eukaryota, Metazoa, Chordata, Mammalia, Dermoptera, Cynocephalidae. The record is from RefSeq and is a predicted model, not a curated record.
UGAGUACAAUAGGCUCUUGCCCAAUGAAGUAUGGUUUCCCAGCAGUGCCGGGAGGACAAUAUCUCUGAAUUCCAAUGUGUGGUUCCAGAAGGAUUCACAAAUUAGUUCUAUCUUCACAAGAGUCGCACAUGAUGUGAUCUGGAGCCCCAGAAGCCAUCCUGAACCAUGAGGCAACCAUAAGGAGAGAGGCCAAGUGCUAAAGAUGGUGCAACCAAGGACAGAAGGAGCAUGUGUCUCUGUGGACCAGGGAGUCACCAUGCUGGUCUUGAACUGCCUUUUCUCAGACUACUUUUAUGUGAGAGAAAAAUAAACUUCUAUCUUGUUUAA